This 274-nucleotide ribosomal RNA is filed under the name uncultured bacterium. Its description in RNAcentral is "partial 16S ribosomal RNA". It matches the Rfam family "Bacterial small subunit ribosomal RNA", at positions 523 to 796 of the family's 1533-position model. The record is from RNAcentral.
AUACGGAGGGUGCGAGCGUUAAUCGGAAUUACUGGGCGUAAAGGGUGCGUAGGCGGCUUGAUAAGUCGGAUGUGAAAGCCCAGGGCUUAACCUGGGAAUUGCAUUCGAUACUGUCAGGCUAGAGUAUGUCAGAGGUUGGCGGAAUUCCUGGUGUAGCGGUGAAAUGCGUAGAUAUCAGGAGGAACACCAGUGGCGAAGGCGGCUAACUGGGGCAAUACUGACGCUGAGGCACGAAAGCGUGGGUAGCAAACAGGAUUAGAAACCCUAGUAGUCC